This 1262-nucleotide long non-coding RNA is filed under the name Malus domestica (apple). RNAcentral's name for it is "long non-coding RNA (MDOM_LNC016983)". The record is from RNAcentral. Lineage: Eukaryota; Viridiplantae; Streptophyta; Magnoliopsida; Rosales; Rosaceae.
AUCAAAUCGUUUGAUUUCUCAUAAAGAUGUAAAUGAAUCUUUUGUUUACUAGGUUUACAAAAGAUUAGUGUGAGUUAAUCAUGUUCCUAAAAUUUAAAUAUAUAUAUGAUAUAUUAAUUUUGGAAAUGAAAUAAAUACUUCUUCGUUAAAGUUAUGACUUUAAGCAUUAUAUAAAGAUAGAAUGUAUAUGCGAGACAUAGUCUAUAUACAUGGGAUGGGAAUCUAUAAUGAUAUAUUUCAUGAUAUAAUUGGAUUAUAUCAAGCCCUAAAUAAUAGACAAGAGUUGCUAGGAAGUUUCUCAUAUGAUGAUAAACUUCAAUUAGAAGGAUGACUCUAGUGUGACUAGCAAGUUGCCCUUCUCAAAGAGAACGUACUCUUUGACUCCCAAAGAAAUAAUGCGUAAAUAGAAUCCUUUAUGCAUACACAUAAAGGUGAUUUAUGUAUUUCAUAUUGUAUGAAAAACAUUGAUAUGAGUUGUACCUAGAACGGUACAAGACGAUAUCAGUGCAAGCCCAGGAUCAGAACCAUGGCAACUGUUAAGUGAGUCCUUAAGUAUUUAAGAAAUACUGAAGGAUAGAUUCCUCAAAGAUCGAGGAAGAAUUAGAGUAACGUAAUGGAAGCGUAAAUGUAUUAGAUUAUGAAUCUAAUCCAUCAUUGGAUGUUUCUUCAUUAUGAAUGAAGAGAUAAUCAAAUAUCUCUUUAUUAUGACUAAAGAGAUAUUUGGAUGGAAACAUUAAAGUAAUGACUUUAGUGUGUUCCAUUAUGAAUGCAAAAUAUAUUGCCAUAUAGAAGUUUACAACAAUGUUGUUUGGAUGGGAAAGUUCAUUUAUGAACUCUCUAUUCGGUUCCAACCAGAAAGUGUAUGACACUAAUGGGGCGAUAGCUCAAGCCAGGGAAUCAAGGUCUCAUUAAGGUCCGAACUCAUAUGAGAGACUGAACCACAUGAUUGAGAAUCAUGUAUAAUGGUGACGUCGAUAUUCUCAAGGUUGCUUCUAUGGAUAACAUAUAGAUAUCCAUUGUCUAGGCCUACUACUCAGCCAUUUAUGAAAUGACUACAGAAGAGGUAUCAUCACUGAUGACCAAGCUGAUUGGCUCUCAUAACCCGCUAAGAGUUCAAUAUAACUCUCGAAUUCUAUUGAGGGAUGUGGAAUUUGCCAAAAAUAGUGGGUGGUACUAUUUGAUUCAAAGACCCAAUCAAAUAGUUUUAAACAAAUAAUCUAAUACGAUUUCUGUUAUGUUAUGUAGUGAACGACAUGCCUAAA